Molecule: ribosomal RNA, 391 nt
Filed under: uncultured bacterium
Lineage: Bacteria
Description: bacterial SSU rRNA
Rfam family: Bacterial small subunit ribosomal RNA
Source: RNAcentral
GACGAACGCUGGCGGCGUGCUUAACACAUGCAAGUCGAGCGGUAAGGCCCUUUCGGGGGUACACGAGCGGCGAACGGGUGAGUAACACGUGGGUGACCUGCCCUCAGCUCUGGGAUAAGCCCGGGAAACUGGGUCUAAUACUGGAUAUGACUCCAUGACGCAUGUUGUGGGGUGGAAAGCCUUGUGCGGCUGAGGAUGGGCCCGCGGCCUAUCAGCUUGUUGGUGGGGGAUGGCCUACCAAGGCGACGACGGGUAGCCGGCCUGAGAGGGCGACCGGCCACACUGGGACUGAGACACGGCCCAGACUCCUACGGGAGGCAGCAGUGGGGAAUCUUGCGCAAUGGGCGAAAGCCUGACGCAGCGACGCCGCGUGAGGGAUGACGGCCUGUGU